RNAcentral lists this long non-coding RNA (383 nucleotides) under Piliocolobus tephrosceles (Ugandan red Colobus). RNAcentral describes it as "lncRNA (ENSPTEG00000029512.1)". Lineage: Eukaryota; Metazoa; Chordata; Mammalia; Primates; Cercopithecidae. The record is from RNAcentral.
GAAAAGCCACCGACCGUCCCUGCUCCAUGGGGAAGGCAGCCUCCAACUAUGGCUGAUGGGCUGGCAGUCAGGAAGAGCUACAGCAGGGAGAAAAGGAUCUUUGCUGAUGUUGAACAUCAACAGGGAAUCCAGGCCUGAGCGGAUUCGCACGUGACGUCUCCCUGGAUACGGGGAUGGUUUCACAAAGGGAUUGGAGUCACUGAGAUGUAAGGAGAAGUCUGCUGGCAGCUUCUGGGACAUUACACCCUGGUACUGAAGAGAUUGCUGCUGGAAAAGGCUGUCUUCCUGGGGAUGUUGUCAGGUGAGGCCUAGAAUUGUGGCAGCCACCUUGCCGCCACCUUGGCAGCCACCUUGCAGCACGGGGAAAAGAUGAGCCUGGGGAG